Molecule: long non-coding RNA, 326 nt
Organism: Tyto alba (common barn owl)
Lineage: Eukaryota; Metazoa; Chordata; Aves; Strigiformes; Tytonidae
Exons: 2
Source: RefSeq, a predicted model, not a curated record
UGAUAUUUGAAAGUCUUGAAACUUCUUGCCUCAACUGGAAGAGAAAAGAAACAAAUAGAAAAAUAAAGACGGAAAAUGAACGCACACCUAAUGUGCCUCAGCUCUCACCCAGCUGAGAAGCCAAGCACCAUGGGAUUUAUCUUAACCCACCACAAAGAAGAAAACAACACUCGGACCCUGCAUGUGUGGGCUGAAUGCUUCAAGAGAAAUUUAUCAAGGGAAAAUAUCAAGCAGGUUUGAGUAAUGAAUACAUCUCAUGAAGCCACAAUAUGUGAGCAGGAAAAAGAAUUUAAACUGUUUAAAUGCAUUAAAUAAAUUAUCUGCAA